This 2900-nucleotide long non-coding RNA is filed under the name Homo sapiens (human). Its description in RNAcentral is "HSALNT0206096". The record is from RNAcentral. Lineage: Eukaryota; Metazoa; Chordata; Mammalia; Primates; Hominidae.
AUAAGACUUAAGUGUCUAUUCCUAACGCUGCAGGAGUAUGAAGCUUAUUCAUAGCUGAGAGCAUAGAGAGCAGCUCAGACAAACCCAGGCAGGAUCACUUCAGAAUGCCUUUUGGAAGAUGCUUUGCCAUACGCAGGAGUAUGAAGCUUAUCCAUAGCUGAGAGCAUAGAGAGCAGCUCAGACAAACCCAGGCAGGAUCGCCUUUUGGAAGAUGCUUUGCCAUACGCAGGAGUAUGAAGCUUAUCCAUAGCUGAGAGCAUAGAGAGCAGCUCAGACAAACCCAGGCAGGAUCACUUCAGAAUGACUUUUGGAAGAUGCUUUGCCAUACAGGGAGUGGCAGUCUUUAGAAGAGGGUUUCUGGAAGGAUCACAGAAAUGCGACCACAGAAGUGCAAAGUCUCCGGUCAUCAAGCUCUCAGAGUGUUCUCUGCAACAAUGUGACAGGGUAUAAUGAUUCUAUAAAUACUGAUCUCCAGCUCACCCAUCUGCCAAGGAAAUAUUUUCCCAGCAUCUGAAUUAAGUGGAGAACUGCUUAACUAAAGGACAGAUGAAGCAAAUCAUCCAUCUUCAGCGAUCACUCAUGGCUUUGUUCAUGAAUGGGGAAGGAGCAUUCAGCUAAAAAUGAGGCUCAGCAGAACACAUUCUCUGGGCAUGCUAGGAAUCCACAGCUCAUCGGUACAGAAAUAAAACAUGGCUGAUUUAUAUACAAACAAUGGUGACAGGAUUGUCACAGCACACAUGGUAACUUCGCUGGCUUGGAAAUCAUCCCAAAAUCAACUAACGAGCACUUCAAAAAGGAGGGCAAAAUGAGGCUCUCAUGUUGCUUGUGUGUGUGUCUUUCUUCAAAGUCAAGUGCCAGAUCUACUUAGAGCAGACGUUCUUAUGUUUUAAAAGCUGAUUUGGUUAAUUUACUGCUGCUAAAUGUAGAAUCAGAUAUUUUCCCUUUUAUAAUAAUAUAACUUAGGAUGCAAGAUUUUUUCCAUCUCAUUCUCAUUAACUAGAUCCCCAUAUUUAUAAACUGCCCCUCUUAUAUCUACUGAUCAGUUACAUCACAAAUAUUUUAUCUUACAGCAGAGCUAGCCCAAUGAACAAAAUAUUCUGAAAUAAAUGCAUUUGAAAAAUGAAACAACUUGAGCCAGUAUAGCAUCAUGUGUGUAGAUCAACAUGAAUUGUGUCAUUACAAACAACUCAAAGUUUAAGCUACAUUAAACUAUAAGAUCUCUACUGCCCAUUACAGCUCCUCCAGGCUAUGAUUUUGAAGAACUUAGCCCAAAGCAGAAGCUACAGAAAAAUUUGACUUUGAGAUUUUAUAAGACAAUAAAUUGAAAAUCUUUGGAAUAACAUAAUUUAUGAAACAAAACUGUUUUUUAACCCUCCACUCCCAUCACUUAUCUAUACAGAAUGCAGUCCAAAAUGGAAACAGAACUGAUGUUUUCUUUGGGAGACCAGAAUAAACAUUUAGUAAGAAUGGUGGGAAAAGGCUCUGGAUUAUUCAGUUCAUUAUUUAACACAUCUUGUGUCUUGUGCCCCUGUUAUGCAUUAGGCUCAGUGCAGGAUGCUAAGAAUAUAGGAGGAAGCAAUAGAGAAAUGAUUGUUCUUGUCUUCAUAGAGUUUAUAAUCUUGCAUGGGGGACAGUCAACAAACAAGUUAACAAAUACAUAAACUACGGACUCCUCUUUUUAGGAGAGAAAAGUAUUAUGUGUCAAGUAUACAAUAUAAUUUUUAGCUACACUAGGUAACUGUAUGAGAGAUUUUUCAUUUAUAAUACCAUUAUUUAUUGAACCCCCAAAUUCCUACAAACAAUGACAUACUUUAGUAAAAGAAGCAUAUUUGUCUAUGGAUAAUUUGUUUUUAGAUAAUCUUAUUGAAAGCCAAGAAAAACUGUACUUUGUAAAGUCUUCUUGGGUGGUAAAAGUUAAUAUGCUUUUCUAAUCAGUCUGCCCCAGGUUCCAGAGAUGAGUGUCCCAGGGAGCACAUGCCCCCACAUGCCUUCAAAGAUGAGGCAGGGACCCCACGGGGUCAGUUUGUGUAGAUAUGGUUUUGAGUAUCAUUGCUGUGAAAUAGCUGCAACCAACCAGCCAACCUUCAGCAGAAAGAAAGGACAACCAAGGCACAGGAAAAGGUCAAGUUCUUGAGACAGUCACCAGGCAAUGAAAGAAGACUGAAACAAAUACAUUCGGGGGAAAGAUUUGCAUAAACAUCAUGGUUUCAGCACAGAAAGGGGCCUUAAGAUGACUUCUGAUCUUCUUUACAAAAUCUUGAACAGUAGGAGCCCAUUUCAAGAAGAGUCCAGGCGUACGGCUUCACUGAUGUCUUGGGUUGAUCCCUAUCUCAUCAAUGUCAGGGGACAGCCUGAGUCCCGCACAGGGACUUCGGGGAAGCCUAGAGGAAAGGUGGCUGUGGGAGAAGGAGCUACAAACCUCCCUCCAGCUUUCUCCCUCAGAGUAAUUGUCUUACUUUUGUUCCCAUAAAAAUCUAGGCUCCUGAGGUUAUUCUCAAUGGAAAAUAUGGUGUAAGCGAAUACUCGGUAUGAAUUUCAAUGAAAUCAUGUUGUACUUCUGAUCUUACAGGGAAAUAUUAAGAUCCAUGUUACAUAGAAAUGCACUAGGCAUUGCUGUCUCCCCAUGAAACAUGACUUAAGCACAGGAUGUUUGGCAACAGCUUUAUAACAUAAGUCAAAAUAAAAUUGGUUUCCAUGCCUCCCAUAUAGUUACAUAAAAAUCAUAAGUGGCAGAAAUGUCCAUGUUUUACAUUUAUGCUUUAUGAAGUAUUUUGUGCUUUGUCCUAUUAUGUAACAACCCAGAAAGAAUAUAUGCACCGGUCAAUUUUUCUCCACUUCUGCAUACUUAUUUUGUACCCUUUAAAAUUAGAGUCCUGAUCAUGAAAAAGAUCCAAGCACAG